GGCUAUGAUAAAAUCACCUGCAAUGUACCUAAUCUUGUGCGACCUCCGAAGCUAAGCAGGUUUGAGCCUGGAUAUUGCUUGGAUGGGUGACCCACCAUGAAUAUCAGGUUGUCAUGGCCA
This 120-nucleotide ribosomal RNA is filed under the name Petromyzon marinus (sea lamprey). The record is from RNAcentral. Lineage: Eukaryota; Metazoa; Chordata; Hyperoartia; Petromyzontiformes; Petromyzontidae.